Non-coding RNA from Danio rerio (zebrafish), 1478 nucleotides. NCBI's taxonomy places the organism in Eukaryota, Metazoa, Chordata, Actinopteri, Cypriniformes, Danionidae. The record is from RefSeq and is a predicted model, not a curated record.
UUUAAUUGCUAAAAUAAAUAUGUAAGUGUAGAUGUAAUCGUAUUUCUUCUCAAUCAAUCUUUGAAAAAGAACACUAUCAUGAAAGAUGCAAAUUUCAGUUAAAUAUGUGACUGCUUUGAGCCCUAAUAGGAAACCAAAUAAACAACUAUAUUGAACAAUUCAAACUGCAGAAUAAUGUUGAAGACUGUACAUAUUUGUGUAAAAACAUUCAAAUUUAUUUUAUUGUCCAUUUUGGCAAUGAGUAUUGAUGAUGUCUUCAGCUGUGCAUUAUAUUUUGUCAACCUAAAACUUCCAUGAAAUGUAAAAUGCUAUAAUAUUAGUUCUCUAAAAUUUUUCAUUGUGAAUAUAUUUACGGUAUGACUCUGUAUUUUUAUUUUUAAAAUAGGUAUCCCUACAUCAUCACGCUUAUGUCUUAAAUAAAAGACAAGAUGUCAACUAUCAUGAAUUUUAUGACACCAUAGCAGAUGUUCAUAGUACCGCCCCGUUAGAGAAGGCAGGCCUGUUUGAAUGUGUAGAUAAAGCACCCAUUAUUACUUCCAGCUACCAAGGAGUAAUGCUUCUGGGUACAGUCACUGAUCCUAAAGCUUUCUACAAGAACCAAUUGAUCAGGAGUAAAAAGAAGAUUAAAGACAUAAAGUACUAUCUUUGAGGACCACAGCCCCUACUUUGGUCUUGUUUGCACUGAACUAUUAGGGCUGAACUAUCGCUGUUUAAGGACACAGGCCGCAUCUUUAAGAUUUUUUUUCUGACAGCCACCAUGCAAAGAUGACUGAUUGCUAUUGUUCUCAACAUGCUGACGGUAAUGCGCAUGAAAGGCCUGAGUACGAGUGCAACCCUGUUUUUGAUUGUCGAAUAAGGUCUAUUGUGGUCAACAUGUUUAAACAGCAUUAUAGGGACCAUAUGGUUUUUCUUCUGGAGAAGAUCAUUAAUGAUGUGUGUGAUUCUAAAUAUGAUUGUACAGGAGAUGGCAAACGUGUGAAAAAUCUCAAGAGAGAAUUGGACGUUGUGAGAGGGGCCUUAAACUCAUGGGCCGAUAUGAUAAAUCAAUUGAAACACCUAUGUUUUCGUAGCAAUGGUGCUGUCUGUGCAACCAAUACAAAAAUUCUGGAGGUGCUGACUGAAUUGAGUGAUGAGAUGGGGGUAACGCAGGUUCUAUGUAUGUCUACAUAUAUAACAGAUAUUUGUGUGUCACUGGUUUCACAAAACAAAAUAAAUAUUGCUGAGAUUGUGGAAGUUAUGACCAGCCACAUACUAGAACAUGACAGAAUGCUUUUAGCAGCAUUUCUUUGUUGUUUGGUAAUAUUCAGUAAUGUCUUUAUUGUUCUGGUGUACCCUGUUUUUUCUUCAAUGUAUGACUGUAUAUAUGUAUUUUUUUUUCUUAUUUAAUUUGUCUUUAUUAUGUUAAUGCAAUCCAUGUUUGUUCAUUAUGUAAUACUCUAUGUCAGUGUUUAUUUACUUGAAAUAAAAGUUUAUCAACU